RNAcentral lists this ribosomal RNA (491 nucleotides) under uncultured bacterium. RNAcentral's name for it is "partial 16S ribosomal RNA". It matches the Rfam family "Bacterial small subunit ribosomal RNA", at positions 29 to 506 of the family's 1533-position model. The record is from RNAcentral.
AGUGAACGCUGGCGGUAGGCCUAACACAUGCAAGUCGAACGGCAGCACAGUAAGAGCUUGCUCUUACGGGUGGCGAGUGGCGGACGGGUGAGGAAUACAUCGGAAUCUACUUUUUCGUGGGGGAUAACGUAGGGAAACUUACGCUAAUACCGCAUACGACCUACGGGUGAAAGCAGGGGAUCUUCGGACCUUGCGCGAUUGAAUGAGCCGAUGUCGGAUUAGCUAGUUGGCGGGGUAAAGGCCCACCAAGGCGACGAUCCGUAGCUGGUCUGAGAGGAUGAUCAGCCACACUGGAACUGAGACACGGUCCAGACUCCUACGGGAGGCAGCAGUGGGGAAUAUGGGGCAAUGGGCGCAAGCCUGAUCCAGCCAUACCGCGGGGGUGAAGAAGGCCUGCGGGUUGUAAAGCCCUUUUGUUGGGAAAGAAAAGCAGCAGGUUAAUACCCCGCUGUUCUGACGGUACCCAAAGAAUAAGCACCGGCUAACUUCGU